Molecule: ribosomal RNA, 579 nt
Filed under: Russula sp.
Lineage: Eukaryota; Fungi; Basidiomycota; Agaricomycetes; Russulales; Russulaceae
Description: SSU rRNA
Rfam family: Bacterial small subunit ribosomal RNA
Source: RNAcentral
UCAGCAGUCCAAAAUAUUAGUCAAUGCUCGAAAGAGUGAACUAGCUAACUGAAAUCAAUUAUAAUAAUUGAUAACAUAAGGGAAAAAGAAUGAUAUUACCUUAUUAUUAGUGUCGUCCAAAUCUGGUGCCAGAAGACUCGGUAAGGCCAGAGACACGAACGUUAAUCGUCUUAAUCAGGCGUAAAGGGUUUGUAGGCGGCUUUAAAAUUUAUUUAUAUUAAUAUUAUAAAAUAAAAAAUAAAAGCUAGAAUCAAAAAGAGGAUAUAUUAAAGAAUGCUUAGAGUAGGUCUGAUAUCCUUAGAUACUAAGUAGAAUAUUAAAGGCGAAAGCUUUUUUCCAUUAAUGAUUGACGCUCAGAAACGAAGGUGAGGAUAGGAAAUAGGAUUAGAUACCCAAAAUACCCCUCUCUGUCAACGAUGAAUGGUAAUUAUUAGUAAAAAUUUUAUUAAUGAUAAUGUUAACACGAUAACCAUUCCGCCUUGUGAGUACAACUGCAAAGUUGAAAACAAAAAAAUUAGUCGGUUUCGGAGCAAACGAAGUGAAGCAUGUUAUUUAAUUCGAUAAUCCGCAAAGCUGAAA